This 278-nucleotide ribosomal RNA is filed under the name uncultured bacterium. Its description in RNAcentral is "partial 16S ribosomal RNA". It matches the Rfam family "Bacterial small subunit ribosomal RNA", at positions 28 to 334 of the family's 1533-position model. The record is from RNAcentral.
GAUGAACGCUGACAGAAUGCUUAACACAUGCAAGUCGAACGAGACCUUCGGGUCUAGUGGCGCACGGGUGCGUAACGCGUGGGAAUCUGCCCUUGGGUUCGGAAUAACUCGCCGAAAGGCGUGCUAAUACCGGAUGAUGUCGUAAGACCAAAGAUUUAUCGCCCAGGGAUGAGCCCGCGUAAGAUUAGGUAGUUGGUGAGGUAAAGGCUCACCAAGCCGACGAUCUUUAGCUGGUCUGAGAGGAUGAUCAGCCACACUGGGACUGAGACACGGCCCAG